This 272-nucleotide ribosomal RNA is filed under the name uncultured Staphylococcus sp. RNAcentral's name for it is "partial 16S ribosomal RNA". It matches the Rfam family "Bacterial small subunit ribosomal RNA", at positions 90 to 355 of the family's 1533-position model. The record is from RNAcentral. Lineage: Bacteria; Bacillati; Bacillota; Bacilli; Caryophanales; Staphylococcaceae.
CGUUAGCGGCGGACGGGUGAGUAACACGUGGGUGACCUACCUAUAAGACUGGGAUAACUCCGGGAAACCGGGGCUAAUACCGGAUAACACAUGAAACCGCAUGGUUUCAUGAUGAAAGACGGUUUUGCUGUCACUUAUAGAUGGACCCGCGGCGUAUUAGCUAGUUGGUAAGGUAACGGCUUACCAAGGCAACGAUACGUAGCCGACCUGAGAGGGUGAUCGGCCACACUGGAACUGAGACACGGUCCAGACUCCUACGGGAGGCAGCAGUC